Molecule: long non-coding RNA, 744 nt
Organism: Cucurbita maxima (winter squash)
Lineage: Eukaryota; Viridiplantae; Streptophyta; Magnoliopsida; Cucurbitales; Cucurbitaceae
Exons: 2
Source: RefSeq, a predicted model, not a curated record
GGAGGCAUUAAUGCACCACAAAACGAACACUACUUCUGUGUUCUAUUUCAAUCCAGCCAUAUAAACCACAAAACAGCGAAGAAGCAAACUUGCCAUAGCACACAGCCUUUCCUCCAAAAUGGAAGAUCAAUACAACUUUCUCCAUCAUCCUCAAAGGCUCAACUUCUAAUAAGCUAAAUACAAGUAAAAAACUUUAUCAAAACCAAACUUGUACAAGUCCCAGCAAUUUCAAAAUCUAAAUCAAGAUCAAAAGUAGAUAUUGUCCACAAAAUAUUUAGAAGUGUUUACUCUUCCCAUGGCUCGCUGGAGCAGGUUUGAGCAGGAGAUUGUGAGUUUUUCCAGUUGUCGUUUGGGUUCGUCUCUUUGGGUUUUACAGUCUAGAAGGAGGAGGCUCAGAAGUCGUGGGAGACAAACGCACGAGAGGUCAUGAACGGAGGUGAACCGGGGUUGAAGACUCGUGAGGAGGAGAUCUACACAUUCCUUGAAGAGGUCGAGAGGUAAAAACACCUAUAGGAGAAAAUCAAGAACAAAAAUCCAAAGCUACGGUUUGAGUUUUUCCCCAACCUUGAUCGACCAUAUCUUCCUCGUUUUUUCAUGAGAACUUGUUCUAUGGUGUUCUUGGAUUGUAGAUGUACAAGUUUGAUUUUGAAAAUGACUCAAUUAGGGUUUUUUGUGCUAGGGUUUUGCGUUGUAAGGUCAUUUAUUCAAUUCCACAUGGUCCUUUUCUUCUUAGUUUUUGUUUUA